UACAGAGGUGGCAAGCGUUGCUCGGUGUCACUGGGCUUAAAGGGCGCGUAGGCGGCGUGGUACGGCUCGGGUGAAAUCCCUCGGCCCAACCGAGGAAUUGCAAGGGCGACGGCCACGCUUGGCUGCAUCAGGGGAAGAUGGAACUUCCGGUGGAGCGGUGAAAUGCGUAGAUAUCGGAAGGAACGCCGGUGGCGAAAGCGAUCUUCUGGGGUGCAAGCGACGCUGAGGCGCGAAAGCUAGGGGAGCAAACGGG
Molecule: ribosomal RNA, 253 nt
Filed under: uncultured bacterium
Lineage: Bacteria
Description: partial 16S ribosomal RNA
Rfam family: Bacterial small subunit ribosomal RNA
Source: RNAcentral